Molecule: ribosomal RNA, 456 nt
Filed under: uncultured bacterium
Lineage: Bacteria
Description: bacterial SSU rRNA
Rfam family: Bacterial small subunit ribosomal RNA
Source: RNAcentral
UACGGGAGGCAGCAGUGGGGAAUAUUGCACAAUGGGCGAAAGCCUGAUGCAGCUAUGCCGCGUGUAUGAAGAAGGCCUUAGGGUUGUAAAGUACUUUCAUCGGGGAGGAAAAACAAAACUAAUAAUUUUAUUUCUUGACGUUACCCGAAAAAGAAGCACCGGCUAACUCCGUGCCAGCAGCCGCGGUAAUACGGAGGGUGCUAGCGUUAAUCAGAAUUACUGGGCGUAAAGAGCACGUAGGUGGUUUUUUUAAGUCAGAUGUGAAAUCCCUGGGCUUAACCUAGGAACUGCAUUUUGAAACUGAAAUACUAGAGUAUCGUAGAGGGAGGUAGAAUUCUAGGUGUAGCGGUGAAAUGCGUAGAUAUCUGGAGGAAUACCUGUGGCGAAAGCGGCCUCCUAAACGAAUACUGACACUGAGGGUGCGAAAGCGUGGGAAGCAAACAGGGAUUAGAUACC